This 287-nucleotide ribosomal RNA is filed under the name uncultured Bacteroidales bacterium. RNAcentral's name for it is "partial 16S ribosomal RNA". It matches the Rfam family "Bacterial small subunit ribosomal RNA", at positions 62 to 339 of the family's 1533-position model. The record is from RNAcentral. Lineage: Bacteria; Pseudomonadati; Bacteroidota; Bacteroidia; Bacteroidales.
UCGAGGGGAAACGACAUCGAAAGCUUGCUUUUGAUGGGCGUCGACCGGCGCACGGGUGAGUAACGCGUAUCCAACCUGCCCACCACUUGGGGAUAACCUUGCGAAAGUAAGACUAAUACCCAAUGACGUCUCUAGAAGACAUCUGAAAGGGAUUAAAGAUUUAUCGGUGAUGGAUGGGCAUGCGGCGCAUUAGCUAGUCGGCGGGGUAACGGCCCACCAAGGCAACGAUAUCUAGGGGUUCUGAGAGGAAGGUCCCCACAUUGGAACUGAGACACGGCCCAGACUCC